RNAcentral lists this ribosomal RNA (508 nucleotides) under uncultured bacterium. Its description in RNAcentral is "partial 16S ribosomal RNA". It matches the Rfam family "Bacterial small subunit ribosomal RNA", at positions 35 to 539 of the family's 1533-position model. The record is from RNAcentral.
GACGAACGCUGGCGGCGUGCUUAACACAUGCAAGUCGAACGGAAAGGCCCUGCUUUUGUGGGGUGCUCGAGUGGCGAACGGGUGAGUAACACGUGAGUAACCUGCCCUUGACUUUGGGAUAACUUCAGGAAACUGGGGCUAAUACCGGAUAGGAGCUCCUGCUGCAUGGUGGGGGUUGGAAAGUUUCGGCGGUUGGGGAUGGACUCGCGGCUUAUCAGCUUGUUGGUGGGGUAGUGGCUUACCAAGGCUUUGACGGGUAGCCGGCCUGAGAGGGUGACCGGGCACCGGGUGUCGGGGCUGCGGCCACGCCGUGGACGGGGGCGAGCAGUGGAGAGUAGUACACAAUGGACCGCAGCGGGAUGCAGCAACGUCGCGGGCGGCAUGACGGCCUUCGGGUUGCAGCCCGCUUUCUCCUGGGAGGAGGGGGAGGUGACAGUAGUAGGACAAGCAGCACCGGGUAACUACGGGCCAGCAGCCGAUGUACUAGCUCACACCGCACACCCAGACC